UGGGGAAUAUUGGACAAUGGGGGCAACCCUGAUCCAGCCAUGCCGCGUGCGUGAAGAAGGCCUUAGGGUUGUAAAGCGCUUUCAGCGGGGAAGAUAAUGACGGUACCCGCAGAAGAAGCCCCGGCUAACUCCGUGCCAGCAGCCGCGGUAAUACGGAGGGUGCAAGCGUUGUCCGGAUUUAUUGGGUUUAAAGGGUACGUAGGCGGAUGAUUAAGUCCGUGGUGAAAGCUCUCGGCUCAACCGGGAAACUGCCAUGGAUACUGGUUAUCUUGAGUACAGUAGAGGUGGGCGGAAUUCAUGGUGUAGCGGUGAAAUGCAUAGAUACCAUGAGGAACACCGAUAGGGAAGCCAGCUCACUGGACUGUAACUGACGCUGAGGUACGAAAGCGUGGGGAGCGAACAGGAUUAGAUACCCCUGUAGUCC
Molecule: ribosomal RNA, 424 nt
Filed under: uncultured prokaryote
Description: bacterial SSU rRNA
Rfam family: Bacterial small subunit ribosomal RNA
Source: RNAcentral